UACGUAGGUGGCAAGCGUUGUCCGGAAUUAUUGGGCGUAAAGCGCGCGCAGGCGGUCCUUUAAGUCUGAUGUGAAAGCCCACGGCUCAACCGUGGAGGGUCAUUGGAAACUGGGGGACUUGAGUACAGAAGAGAAGAGUGGAAUUCCACGUGUAGCGGUGAAAUGCGUAGAGAUGUGGAGGAACACCAGUGGCGAAGGCGACUCUUGGUCUGUAACUGACGCUGAGGCGCGAAGCGUGGGAGCAACAGG
Molecule: ribosomal RNA, 249 nt
Filed under: uncultured bacterium
Lineage: Bacteria
Description: partial 16S ribosomal RNA
Rfam family: Bacterial small subunit ribosomal RNA
Source: RNAcentral